Molecule: ribosomal RNA, 253 nt
Filed under: uncultured bacterium
Lineage: Bacteria
Description: partial 16S ribosomal RNA
Rfam family: Bacterial small subunit ribosomal RNA
Source: RNAcentral
UACGUAGGUGGCAAGCGUUGUCCGGAAUUAUUGGGCGUAAAGGGUUCGUAGGCGGUUUUUUAAGUCUGAUGUGAAAGCCCACGGCUUAACCGUGGAAGGUCAUUGGAAACUGGAAGACUUGAGUACAGGAGAGGAAAGUGGAAUUCCUAGUGUAGCGGUGAAAUGCGUAGAUAUUAGGAGGAACACCAGUGGCGAAGGCGGCUUUCUGGCCUGUAACUGACGCUGAUGCACGAAAGCGUGGGGAGCAAACAGG